UGAAAAAAUUUGGGUAACUCG
This 21-nucleotide non-coding RNA is filed under the name Caenorhabditis elegans. Lineage: Eukaryota; Metazoa; Nematoda; Chromadorea; Rhabditida; Rhabditidae. The record is from RNAcentral.